CACGUAGGGCGCAAGCGUUUGUCCGGAAUUAUUGGGCGUAAAGAGCUCGUAGGCGGUCUGUUACGUCUGCUGUGAAAACCCAGGGCUUAACCCUGGGCUUGCAGUGGAUACGGGCAGACUAGAGGCAGGUAGGGGAGAAUGGAAUUCCCGGUGUAGCGGUGAAAUGCGCAGAUAUCGGGAGGAACACCGGUGGCGAAGGCGGUUCUCUGGGCCUGACCUGACGCUGAGGAGCGAAAGCGUGGGGAGCAAACAGG
RNAcentral lists this ribosomal RNA (254 nucleotides) under uncultured bacterium. RNAcentral describes it as "partial 16S ribosomal RNA". It matches the Rfam family "Bacterial small subunit ribosomal RNA", at positions 524 to 776 of the family's 1533-position model. The record is from RNAcentral.